RNAcentral lists this ribosomal RNA (520 nucleotides) under uncultured Glomus. RNAcentral describes it as "SSU rRNA". It matches the Rfam family "Eukaryotic small subunit ribosomal RNA", at positions 569 to 1092 of the family's 1831-position model. Lineage: Eukaryota; Fungi; Glomeromycota; Glomeromycetes; Glomerales; Glomeraceae. The record is from RNAcentral.
AGCAGCCGCGGUAAUUCCAGCUCCAAUAGCGUAUAUUAAAGUUGUUGCAGUUAAAAAGCUCGUAGUUGAAUUUCGGGAUCAAUACGUCGGUCGUGCUUCGGUACGUACUGGCGUAAUUGAUUUCUCCCUUCUGACGAACCAUGAUGUCAUUAACUUGGUGUCAUGGGAAAUCAGGACUGUUACUUUGAAAAAAUUAGAGUGUUUAAAGCAGGCUCACGCUUGAAUACAUUAGCAUGGAAUAAUGAAAUAGGACGUUCGAUCCUAUUUUGUUGGUUUUUAGGAUCAACGUAAUGAUUAAUAGGGAUAGUUGGGGGCAUUAGUAUUCAAUUGUCAGAGGUGAAAUUCUUGGAUUUAUUGAAGACUAACUACUGCGAAAGCAUUUGCCAAGGAUGUUUUCAUUAAUCAAGAACGAAAGUUAGGGGAUCGAAGACGAUCAGAUACCGUCGUAGUCUUAACCAUAAACUAUGCCGACUAGGGAUCGGAUGAUGUUAAUUUUUAAUGACCCAUUCGGCGCCUUACG